RNAcentral lists this ribosomal RNA (305 nucleotides) under uncultured bacterium. RNAcentral describes it as "bacterial SSU rRNA". It matches the Rfam family "Bacterial small subunit ribosomal RNA", at positions 333 to 630 of the family's 1533-position model. The record is from RNAcentral.
UUUUUCCUACGGGAGGCAGCAGUGGGGAAUUUUGGACAAUGGGCGCAAGCCUGAUCCAGCUAUUCCGCGUGUGGGAUGACGGCCCUCGGGUUGUAAACCACUUUAGUAGAGAACGAAAAGGAGCUAUCGAAUAAAUAGCUCUGCUGACGGUACUCUAAGAAUAAGCACCGGCUAACUACGUGCCAGCAGCCGUGGUAAUACGUAGGGAGCAAGCGUUAUCCGGAUUUAUUGGGUGUAAAGGGUGCGUAGACGGGAAAACAAGUUAGUUGUGAAAUCCCUCGGCUUAACUGAGGAACUGCAACUAA